Molecule: long non-coding RNA, 426 nt
Organism: Papilio xuthus (Asian swallowtail)
Lineage: Eukaryota; Metazoa; Arthropoda; Insecta; Lepidoptera; Papilionidae
Exons: 2
Source: RefSeq, a predicted model, not a curated record
UGUGAUAAUGUGCCAAGUCCUGACCGGACGGGUGACUCAUCUAGUAUUAGUAUAAAUGUGACACUUUUAAAAGUGAUUUAUUGGGAUUAGCUGGUGUUUGAAAUAAACAAUCUCAGACAAUGGGUCUGUGCUGCAGUUGCUGCUGUGAUGAUGGUGGUGGUGUUAACGUGGUGCAGCAGCCUAAUGAGGGCGGCUGGGGCGGCGGUCCCCCCUCUGUUAUGGUGGUAGACGACGCGCCAGGUCCUAUGGGCAGAUGACAGAGUGGUUAUUAACAUUUAAUUAAUUAAUAUUUAUUGAUUUUUUUGCAAUUUUUAUUAAUAUUUAAUUAUAUUAAUAAAAAUGUUUAUGUUCUAUUUUUUAUUUUGGCAAGUAAUUUCUUUGAUUUUAUAUUCAGUUAUAAUGAUUAAAGAUUUGUUUCCGAUGUAA